UACCGUAGGUGGCGAGCGUUAUCCGGAUUUACUGGGUGUAAAGGGCGUGUAGGCGGGUUUGCAAGUCGGGUGUGAAAUAUCCAGGCUUAACUUGGAUGGGUCAUCCGAAACUGCAGAUCUUGAGUGCUGGAGAGGAUAGUGGAAUUCCUGGUGUAGCGGUAAAAUGCGUAGAUAUCAGGAGGAACACCAGUGGCGAAGGCGGCUAUCUGGACAGUAACUGACGCUGAGGCGCGAAAGCGUGGGUAGCAAACAGGAUUAGAUACCCGU
This 267-nucleotide ribosomal RNA is filed under the name uncultured prokaryote. RNAcentral describes it as "partial 16S ribosomal RNA". It matches the Rfam family "Bacterial small subunit ribosomal RNA", at positions 523 to 789 of the family's 1533-position model. The record is from RNAcentral.